UCACCCUUGUAGACAAUUUCUGCAAUCUGUCCAUCUAAAGAUCUUUCGACCAUCUUUUUCACUGGACAAUUUGGAUGCGUGCACUUGUAGUAACUUCGCGGAUACUCNACUUCCCUUUACUUGCUUUUGCCCAUAUUUUCUCCAAUUAUAACCAUCAUAUGAAGGUCGAUCCCCAUUAGAUGCAGCAGAUAAGGUUUUCAGAUCCUCCUCUUGGUUCUGAGAUGUUAACCUUGAGGGUUCAGUUGACUGAUCUGUUUGUGCAUGAGAUGGAAUAUUAUGGUGAAAAUUUGAUGUAAUCUGGGUUGUAAAAUUGUGGUUUUCUUGGUUUGGAUGUUGAACUCGAGCCUCAACCAAUGGCAGCGUUUGUUGUUGAUGACCAGCAACAAAAUUUCCCAUAUUCGCCAAAAGAGAAACGGUUGUCUUUGAAACAAGUUUGGCCUGCGGUUUAUAUAUCACAGUAGGUUUACUGUCUGAUUUUGAAACUUUAUCAUAUGAAUUGCAAAGUCCAGUUCCAGAGAGAUCAGCCUGGGAAGAAAUCGAUCCAGCUGGAGCACGAUUCACCAUUGGCUUGAACCUCACUGUCUUUGGUCUAAUAGCAGCAACUGUGGUUUCUGAACAUACAUUAGGGGGUGAAACACUAAUGGCACCUGCAAGGAGUUCUGAGAAAGUCCUAAAAUUGGAGCAAGUAGGCCUGGAAG
Molecule: unclassified non-coding RNA, 698 nt
Filed under: Hevea brasiliensis (rubber tree)
Lineage: Eukaryota; Viridiplantae; Streptophyta; Magnoliopsida; Malpighiales; Euphorbiaceae
Source: RNAcentral